UGGGGAAUAUUGCACAAUGGGGGAAACCCUGAUGCAGCGACGCCGCGUGAGUGAAGAAGUAUUUCGGUAUGUAAAGCUCUAUCAGCAGGGAAGAAAAUGACGGUACCUGAGUAAGAAGCCCCGGCUAACUACGUGCCAGCAGCCGCGGUAAUACGGAGGAUGCGAGCGUUAUCCGGAUUUAUUGGGUUUAAAGGGUGCGUAGGCGGCGCGUCAAGCCGGUGGUAAAAUUGCGGGGCUCAACCCCGUAGAGCCAUCGGAACUGGCGUGCUUGAGUGGAAAAGAAGUAUGCGGAAUGCGAGGUGUAGCGGUGAAAUGCAUAGAUAUCGCGCAGAACUCCGAUUGCGAAGGCAGCGUACUAUUCUCCAACUGACGCUGAGGCACGAAAGCGUGGGGAUCGAACAGGAUUAGAUACCCUGGUAGU
This 421-nucleotide ribosomal RNA is filed under the name uncultured Anaerostipes sp. Its description in RNAcentral is "bacterial SSU rRNA". It matches the Rfam family "Bacterial small subunit ribosomal RNA", at positions 355 to 794 of the family's 1533-position model. Lineage: Bacteria; Bacillati; Bacillota; Clostridia; Lachnospirales; Lachnospiraceae. The record is from RNAcentral.